AGCGAACGCUGGCGGUAUGCCUAACACAUGCAAGUCGAACGGGGGCGCAUUGGCAUCUUGGUGGUGGAGGGGGGAGGAAGGGGUCGGGACAUGUAGAGGGGGGGGGGAUAACUGUGGGAAAGUGCGGCGAAUGGCAACUGACGCUGAGACGUGACACGCGCUGCGAAAGGAGACAGGGGCUCGCCGAGGCUGCCGCGUCUGAAUAGGCCGUUGGCGGAGUAGCGAGUUGGCGGGGUAAAGACCCAUCAAGGCGACGAGCCGUAGCUGGGCUGAGAGGAUGAUCAGCCACACUGGAACUGAGACACGUUCCAGACUCCUACGGGAGGCAGCAGUGGGGAAUAUUGGAGAAUGGGCGCAAGCCUGAUCCAGCCAUACCGCGUGGGUGAAGAAGGCCUUCGGGUUGUAAAGCCCUUUUGUUGGGAAAGAAAAGCAGCAGGUUAAUACCCCGCUGUUCUGACGGUACCCAAAGAAUAAGCCCCGGCUAACUUCGUG
Molecule: ribosomal RNA, 492 nt
Filed under: uncultured bacterium
Lineage: Bacteria
Description: partial 16S ribosomal RNA
Rfam family: Bacterial small subunit ribosomal RNA
Source: RNAcentral